RNAcentral lists this ribosomal RNA (465 nucleotides) under uncultured bacterium. Its description in RNAcentral is "partial 16S ribosomal RNA". It matches the Rfam family "Bacterial small subunit ribosomal RNA", at positions 28 to 507 of the family's 1533-position model. The record is from RNAcentral.
GACGAACGCUGGCGGCGUGCUUAACACAUGCAAGUCGAACGGAAAGGCCCUGCUUGCAGGGUACUCGAGUGGCGAACGGGUGAGUAACACGUGGGUGAUCUGCCCUGCACUUCGGGAUAAGCCUGGGAAACUGGGUCUAAUACCGGAUAGUAGCCAUUUUUAGUGUGAUGGUUGGAAAGUUUUUUCGGUGUAGGAUGAGCUCGCGGCCUAUCAGCUUGUUGGUGGGGUAAUGGCCUACCAAGGCGGCGACGGGUAGCCGGCCUGAGAGGGUGGACGGCCACAUUGGGACUGAGAUACGGCCCAGACUCCUACGGGAGGCAGCAGGGGGGAAUAUUGAACAAUGGGCGCAAGCCUGAUGCAGCGACGCCGCGUGGGGGAUGACGGCCUUCGGGUUGUAAACUCCUUUCGCUAGGGACGAAGCUUUUUGUGACGGUACCUAGAUAAGAAGCACCGGCUAACUACGUG